UGCAUAGGAAAUGCAGCAUGAAUUUUGUAGUCACAAAAGUGUAAAACAUACACAGAGUAAAACAUACACAGAGACUAAGAAGUAGUUGAUUAAAGGUCCUAGAUCUCUGAAUAACAACAACGGCAGAAAGAACUCAGUAACAAAUUUAAGCCUCUUUUCAGAGGUUGCUUUUUGAUUCACUGGCCACAAUGUCUGUCCCAGCACCCUGAGUGUGAUGGGAUAGAGCUAUGGACCGGCCCGGACUAAAGGCAGACGGUAGGUAAUAGCAGCUAGCUUCAUCUUAAUGCCACUGCAGGAAGUAAGUCAGCUGGCAGAAUAGAUCCAGACUUCUGCUUCCCCUACAAGCUUGUCUUGCCUCAACACACUGAGACUUACAGUAAUGAAUAAUGGGCAUCAUGACUUAGAAAUCAGUUAGAGAGUUAUGGCGGUACGAAGGGUCAUUCCAAAGCCUGGAAAAGAAGGAAAGAAAGAAGCCUAUUCCUAGACCUCAAGCCAAGGUCUCAUCACUCCCAUCAACAGGUGGUGGUCACCUGCAGGGCUCCCAUAAUCAAACAGGUGGUGGUCACCUGCAGUGUUCCCAUCAUCAAACAGGUGGUGGUCACCUGCAGUGUUCCCAUCAACAAAUAGGCGGUAGUCACCUGCAGUGCUCCCAUCCACAGGUGGUGGUCACCUGCAGGGCUCCCAUCAACAGGUGGUAGUCACCUGCAGUGCUCCCAUCAUCAAACAAGUGGUAGUCACCUGCAGUGCUCCCAUCAUCAAACAGGUGGUAGUCACCUGCAGUGCUCCCAUCAUCAAACAGGUGGUAGUCACCUGCAGUGCUCCCAUCAACAGGUGGUGGUCACCUGUAGUGCUCCCAUCAACAAAUGGUGGUCACCUGCAGUGCAGUGUUGAGAAGAAUAUGAGAGAGUAAAUGCCAACAGUAAUAAUAAUGACGUGUAGCACGCCUUGAAUGCUAAGCACUAUUUUAACAGCUUUAAGAAGAAUUAUUGCAUUAUUGAACUCUCAAAUAGACUUAGCAGAUGAAGCAAUGCUAUUAUCCACAUUCUAGAGAGGAGAAAAUCAAGUCACAGUAAGUUCUGUGAUGACUAUACCCAAGUUUGGGACCAGGAGCCUCAGCCCCAGAGCAUUACCACUGUUUUAGAUCCUCCAAUCAGGUUGCCAGAUUUAGCCAAUAGCUACAGCACACCAGCAAAAUUUGGAGUUCAAAUAAGCAAUGAUUGUUAGCAUAGAUAUGCUUAUCCUUCACACCUUUGAAGAAAGCAAUACCACAGGGUGGGGGGAAGACUUCAGAUGUUCAAAUUCAUCAUCUAAAUGACAUUGAUGUUCACAAAACCAGCACAUAUUGUCCUUUUUUUUUUUUUUUUUUUUUUAAGUAACCUCUUCCCAGAAGCUAAAUAAUGAAGCAACUAAAUCAGGGACUUGGCGCUCACACAUGCAAUGUCGUAUGUAAGAUAAACACCAUAUAAAUAGUUACUAGGCUGUAUCUUCUAAGAAAUGAUGCUAAGAAAAGUACCUGCACAUAGUCAAUACAGACACGAUCCCACACAUACAGCAAACAUGUUAAAUCCAGUUGGUGGGCUCCACAGAUGCAGACACUGUAAGUACAGAGGGCUAACUAUAUAUUCCCAAUAUUGCAUGGGGUAUCAUUGCCCAUCUGACAUUCAAAUUUCAUUGGGUAUUCUGUACUUCACAUCCCUACACCUGAAAGUCUAGGGAAUAGCAAGUCAUUUAAUUUAUUUGUAGGCAUUUGCUUUAUUUAUACGCAUACCUUUUCCUGACUUCUUUAUCCACUACCAGCUUAUGAGCUUUCCUCAAGUUCGAUGUCAGGGAACUUGUCACCAAAAUAUAAAGCCAGUCCACCAUUUCUGCACAGCCUGGGAGCUAUGGAUAACUGUCCUCUACAUUUAAUGUCUGAAACAACCAAAGAAAUGCAAUAUUCUAUGACAUAUUAAAAUUUAUGAAAUCUGGCUGGGUAUAGUAGCAGCUGCAUAUAAUCCCAGAAUUCAGAAGGUAGGGGAGUUAUGAUUUCUGAGGCCAGCUGGGGCUAUACAGUAAAACCCUCUCCUAAAAAUAUUAUACGGAAUUUAAUUUUCUGUUACUGUGAAUAAAGUUUUAUUGAAACGUAGCCAAGGUCACUUGUUUAUGUAUAGUCUAUAGUUUCUUUCAUACAAUAAUAACCACCAAACAGAUUGAAUAAAGACUGCACGGUCCACAAGUAUUCACUAUUUCAUUUCUGGCCUUUUGCAGAAAAAGCUGGCCAAUGCUUUUUUUGAGACAAGUUUUCAAUGACAACUUGGAAAAUGACACUAAAGAAAAUUAAGUUUCUAGGACAGUGUGUCAGAACCCCUUUGCUUUCUUCUGCAGUAAAAUUAGUUCUUUCAGCUGGGCAUGGCGCCUUUGAUCCCAGCACUGGGGAGGCAGAGGCAGGCGGAUUUCUGAGUUCCAGGCCAGCCUGGUCUACAGAGUGAGUUCCAGGACAGCCAGGGCUACAUAGAGAAACCCUGUCUUGAAAAACAAAAACAAAAAACAAAAACAAAAACAAAAAACAAAAAC
Molecule: long non-coding RNA, 2553 nt
Filed under: Mus musculus (house mouse)
Lineage: Eukaryota; Metazoa; Chordata; Mammalia; Rodentia; Muridae
Description: long non-coding RNA chr19:22886541-22889094
Source: RNAcentral